RNAcentral lists this transfer RNA (78 nucleotides) under Lentithecium fluviatile CBS 122367. It matches the Rfam family "tRNA". Rfam says of the family: Transfer RNA (tRNA) molecules are approximately 80 nucleotides in length. Their secondary structure includes four short double-helical elements and three loops (D, anti-codon, and T loops). Further hydrogen bonds mediate the characteristic L-shaped molecular structure. tRNAs have two regions of fundamental functional importance: the anti-codon, which is responsible for specific mRNA codon recognition, and the 3' end, to which the tRNAs corresponding amino acid is attached (by aminoacyl-tRNA synthetases). tRNAs cope with the degeneracy of the genetic code in two manners: having more than one tRNA (with a specific anti-codon) for a particular amino acid; and 'wobble' base-pairing, i.e. permitting non-standard base-pairing at the 3rd anti-codon position. The record is from Rfam by way of RNAcentral. Lineage: Eukaryota; Fungi; Ascomycota; Dothideomycetes; Pleosporales; Lentitheciaceae.
GCAUCGGUGGUUUAGUGGUAAAAUUAGCCGUUGCCAAGCAUCUUCGGCUAGCCCCGGGUUCGAUUCCCGGCCGAUGCA